Molecule: ribosomal RNA, 266 nt
Filed under: uncultured archaeon
Lineage: Archaea
Description: partial 16S ribosomal RNA
Rfam family: Archaeal small subunit ribosomal RNA
Source: RNAcentral
AGUCACUGACAUUAGACUACCCCGGUAGUCCAGGGUGUAAACGCUGCAGACUUGGUGUUGGAGCCCGUUUGGGGGCAUUCAGUGCCGGAGAGAAGUUGUUAAGUCUGCUACGUUGGGAGUACGUCCGCAAGGAUAGAAACUUAAAGGAAUUGGCGGGGGAGCACCGCAACGGGAGGAGCGUGCGGUUUAAUUGGAUUCAACACCGUAAACUCACCAGGGGAGACUGUUACAUGAAGGCCGAGAUGAAGACUCUGCUAGAUUUUCAG